This 349-nucleotide unclassified non-coding RNA is filed under the name Clavaria acuta. RNAcentral's name for it is "sequence contains ITS1". The stretch from base 1 to 105 matches the Rfam family "5.8S ribosomal RNA", at positions 50 to 154 of the family's 154-position model. The record is from RNAcentral. Lineage: Eukaryota; Fungi; Basidiomycota; Agaricomycetes; Agaricales; Clavariaceae.
GAAUUGCGAUAUGUAAUGUGAAUUGCAGAAUUCAGUGAAUCAUCGAAUCUUUGAACGCACAUUGCACCCUCUGGUAAUCCAGAGGGUAUGCCUGUUUGAGUGUCAUUAACAACAUCAAAUCCAGACUUUUUUCUGUGAUUUGGAAUUUGAAGGCUUUUGCUAACUGUCAAGGUCAGCUCCUUUUAAAUACAUUAGCAGGUUGCAAACAACUGGCCCCAGUUUGAUAGACUUGAUCAUCUGUGCUGUCGCUAGUAAAUUGUUUGAUCGCUUCAAAUUGUCUCUGGACUGCCAUUAGGCAAUACAUUUAAGUCUUGACCUCAAAUCAGGUAGGAUUACCCGCUGAACUUAA